This 506-nucleotide ribosomal RNA is filed under the name Ophiocoma anaglyptica. RNAcentral describes it as "partial large subunit ribosomal RNA". It matches the Rfam family "Bacterial large subunit ribosomal RNA", at positions 1809 to 2608 of the family's 2925-position model. Lineage: Eukaryota; Metazoa; Echinodermata; Ophiuroidea; Amphilepidida; Ophiocomidae. The record is from RNAcentral.
AAAAACAUGGCCUUUGGAAGAACGAUCAAAAGGUCCGUCCUGCCCGGUGAUAUAUUAAACGGCUGCAGUACUCUGACUGUGCAAAGGUAGCAUGAUCAAUUGUCUGGUAAUUCCAGUCUGGUAUGAAUGGUUAGACGAUAGGAACGCUGUCUCUUUUUUCUGGUGUUGAAGUUAGUUAUUGGGUGCGGAAACCUAGAUUUGAAAGUGGGACGAGAAGACCCUAUAGAGCUUUAACUUUAAUCAUAAAGCUUUUGUGGUGAGUGUUUUAGUUGGGGCAACUGCCUUUGUAGUUAGACAUUGGCUAUUUAAAAAUAAGUUUAGUUUAUAUUGACCCUGAAGGUUUUAGGGAAUAAGAAAAAGUUACCUUAGGGAUAACAGCGUAAUUUCUCUUGAGAGUUCUUAUUAACAGGGGAGUUUGCGACCUCGAUGUUGGAUCAAGUUUACCUGGGGGUGCAGCCGCUUCCAAGGGUUGGUUUGUUCAACCAUUAAAGACUUACGUGAUCUGA